Brachypodium distachyon (stiff brome) is the source of this 1034-nucleotide long non-coding RNA. RefSeq lists it as uncharacterized. The record is from RefSeq and is a predicted model, not a curated record. The transcript has 3 exons. Lineage: Eukaryota; Viridiplantae; Streptophyta; Magnoliopsida; Poales; Poaceae.
UUUCUCUCUUUUCUUUGCCUAAGCUGCACCUUCCCUUAGCCCAGCUAGUCUUCCUAUUCUUUUCUUUCUCUCCUCACGCUUGGGCCAGCAGCUAGCCCAUCAUCCAGGCAACAGCCCAAGCCUGCUCCUGUCUUGCACGCACGCCUGCUCGACUCCCUGAUUCUUUCUUCUUUCACGAGCACCAGCAGCAGCUCCAGAAACGCACGCACCUGUGCACGCCGCCACCUUGAUUUUCCCCUUCGAUUCUCUUGCUCCCUGUCGUUUAUCUGAAAACCGAAAUGGCCAAAUUAAUCUACAUCACCUGGUGAACUGAUUCAGCUUUCAACCAUCAGUUUCCUGUCUUCAAUUCCCCAGUGAUACGGACGCCCCGAGUGCCGGUUUUUGGCAUACGUUUCCUGAUCUCCCACCACAGCCCACAAAACAUAAUUCCUAUCGCGUCAUAUUGAGGCUCUUCGUCUCCUCCUUCGUUUCCUUUCCCAGAGUUUCAUCCAAGAACCAUUGUAGAGCCCGUGCUAUUAUCAUCUACCCCGCCGGCCGCCGUCACCAUUCUUGAUGGUGUUACCACGAGGUUAUGCAUCAAACCUGAACCGUUGGCUGCGUCGUCCCUGAGCUCGCAGCCCACAACACUGUCACGGACGCCGCCGGCUGUUCCCGCUGAACCGGAGCCCCGCAGGCUGCAAUCUCGCGCCAGGAGCAGAGCCUCAACGCAGCAGAGUCACCGCCCUAACCCGCAGCCCGGCAGAACAACCACGUGGGACGGAUUUCAUUCAUCUUUGUCAACUUCGGUCGUCGCGUUCAUGGCACGAUUUCUUCCCCUUCGGUGUUCUCAAAUCCAUGCCGAUCCCGACCGACACGGUCAUGCCAUACACAUCCUAUACCUAGUUGCUGUAAAAUUCAUUCGUGUCACUCAAUUAUAUUCAUCUCCAGUAGACUAGAACAGGAGACGGAUCCUCCAUCCGAUGACCGGAGCUCCGACAACUUCAAUGCCAUCUUGUUUAUGACCAAUAUUGUCAUGCUCUUCCAUGUUCAGUCCA